GCGCCGCUGACGAGUCCAGCAAUAGGACGAGACGGCCGUCCAGUGC
Molecule: non-coding RNA, 46 nt
Organism: Schistosoma margrebowiei
Lineage: Eukaryota; Metazoa; Platyhelminthes; Trematoda; Strigeidida; Schistosomatidae
Source: Rfam